GAGGGCUUUGGAGAAGUGCCCCGGCCUGGCAUGGUGCCCGCCUGCCGCACCAUCUAUUUAACCAGCCCGUCCCUGCCCACUCCCCAGCCAGCAGCUCACCCCGGCAUCUCCGCGGCCAGGGACAGAGCUGCAAACCCACCCCCGAGCCCUCUGCUGCCCAGGUGAGAAUUCCCUCUCCAGCCGACCCUGCCCCACGCCAGCCCCUGCCCCUGCCCCUGCCCAGCUGGGUUAAACCCAGUGCUUAGGGCAGGGGGAAGCCAGGCGGCGGGUGCCAGGGCCUCUGUCCAACUGGGGGACCACUGGGCAGGGUGGGAAGAGACUGGCUCUGGGAUUGUCCUCGAUCCAUGGCGGGGCUCAGCGGGCGACACUGCCAACCCUGCUCGCUCGGGCGGGCACUCCCCAGAGACUGCUGCACAACGCCACGGCCCCCUACAGAAUAUCGGGGCUUCCUAGUGUCGGAGAACCCAGCCCCACCCCUGCUCUAACCCCUGGAUCCAAAUCCCUUCCCAGAGCUGGGGGCAGAAAAGCAGACUUUGCUCUGUGAUGUUUCCUGUGUUCCAGGUUAGGUGGAUCUGUCGCGGCUCCGACACCAGCCCCCCCUUCUCUCCAGAGCCAUGGACGUUCGUCUUGUCUUGUGCCUCCUCUGGGCUCUCCUAGCUACAGCCCAUGCACGUCCUUCCAGCUGUUACCAGAGCACCCCCGGGGAAAGUAGCAUCGUGAGGAACUGUAGGAGUUGGGAAGAUUCUUGCAUCACUGCCCAGGAGGUGAACACUAUCGGGGGCGUGGUGAACACGGGCAUCUUCCAGUCCUGCACCCUCAGCUGGUUGAGCCUGGAGGGUGACCUGGACUUCGAGUUCGGGGGCGGCGUCUACGUGAGGAUCCACUCUGAGCUGUGCAGAGAGACCAACUGCAACACGGGGGCGUUCAAGGAACGCCCCCAAAUCAGCACCGUGCCCAAUGGAAGACAGUGCCCGUCGUGCUAUGCCCCAGGAUCCCACCGCUGCCUCCACAACAAGAUCCUGCACUGCCAGGGGGCUGCCAACCACUGCGUUGACGUCACCGGGAUGCUGUCAGAGAAAAACACCAACACCGAAAUCCCUUUCGCAGCCAGAGGAUGCGCCACCAAGGAUGUGGCCAAGAUCAAAGCUGGGAUGGGCCUGGAGUCGGGCGUAUACAUCUAUCAAAUCGCGACCAUCCAGUUAAGCCCGGCCCCCAAAAUGGAGACAGUGGACGGCUUCUGAUGCCCUGCUGAGCUCCAUCCCACUGGCACGCCCCCGCUUCGAGCUAUUCCCUCCCACUCCACCCCCAGGCCUGUCCGGGGCUGGCCCCCCAGCUGUGACUCAGUUUUCCCCCACCCAAGGGGGAAUAAGGGUGCCAAGCCCCCUUCAUAAAGCGCUUUGAGACCCAUGGGUCCAGGGCACAAGCCAGAGACCCAUUAUGGGCUUUGCACUAAGCGUGACGAGCUUAAAAACAGGCCUGAGUAUUAGAGACCCAUUAGCAGCUUCUCCCCAGAGCGUGCUCUGAGGGGUAAAGCCCAGGUGUCCUGGCUCCCAGCCCCCACUGCUCUAACCCACCAGCCCCCACUCCCCUCCCAGAGCUAGAGAGAGAACCCAGGAGUCCUGGCUCCCAGCCCCCCUGCUCUAACCACUAGUCCCCACUCCCUCCCAGAUCCAAGAACAGAACCCAGGCAUCCUGCCACCCCUCCACCCUCUGUUCUCACCCUCUGUAUUUCCACAUGCUAAUGCAUUGAAUAAAGCUGCAUCAUAAAUCCA
This 1772-nucleotide long non-coding RNA is filed under the name Chrysemys picta bellii (western painted turtle). Its description in RNAcentral is "lncRNA (ENSCPBG00000013131.1)". Lineage: Eukaryota; Metazoa; Chordata; Testudines; Emydidae. The record is from RNAcentral.